Molecule: small RNA, 24 nt
Filed under: Brassica napus (rape)
Lineage: Eukaryota; Viridiplantae; Streptophyta; Magnoliopsida; Brassicales; Brassicaceae
Description: PsRNA_56
Source: RNAcentral
AUAGAGUGAGAUAUGAAAUUGGGU